CAUGGACCUUAGGAGAGCUAAACUGCUCAGCUACCUCUAUUUGCUAUGCGAUCUCGUCACUUCCAUUGGACAGCCACCUAUAUACCACUAGAGAAAAAGAGAUGAUGCAGAGGAAAAUUAAAGUUCACAGCUGUCAUCAACUUCCAGUCAUAUGAAUGAGGUCUUCUUGGAAACCCAGCUCCAGUCAAGUUUCAAGUUGAAUGCAGCUCCAUGUAUGGCCUGAGAAUUAACCAUUUAAGGCAGAACUACCCAGCUGAUGCAUGAAUGAGUUCUCGACCUACAAAAUCGUAGGGAAUAAUAUAUAAUAGUUUGAACACUCUAAGUUGUGGGGAAUUUUGCCAUAGAAAUCUGAUACAUA
Molecule: long non-coding RNA, 358 nt
Filed under: Pan troglodytes (chimpanzee)
Lineage: Eukaryota; Metazoa; Chordata; Mammalia; Primates; Hominidae
Description: lncRNA (ENSPTRG00000053226.1)
Source: RNAcentral